Non-coding RNA from Tetranychus urticae (two-spotted spider mite), 3610 nucleotides. NCBI's taxonomy places the organism in Eukaryota, Metazoa, Arthropoda, Arachnida, Trombidiformes, Tetranychidae. The record is from RefSeq and is a predicted model, not a curated record.
UAAUUAGUGAUUUGUCAUCUGUUGCCUAAACGGUUUCCUAUUUUUUAGGACUCACUUUGAACUCUCAGUUUUAUCCUCUUACCCUUAUGUUUCCGUGAUUAUUGAAUAAAAUUAUUGAUUAGAAGCGUGAAUUUUUUGACAAAGUAAUACAAUUCAGUGUCAACUGUCAUCAUCACCAGACUAAGAAUGGAAGCGUAAAAAAUAUAAAGCUGAUUGAAGCGAACCGUUAAUUUCAUCAUUCAACAGUGUAACAUUAAAAAAUGUCAACUCAUCGUCAGGCCUUGCUUUGCCUAUUUUCUCGUGGCUUUUCUCGGUCUCUUCUUGGCUCAUCACUCAUGUUCACCCAUCAAAACCUGUGAAACUGUGAUUACAUUGAGACAAUCAGCAAACAAUUUGCUGCUGUAUACUCAUGUUGCUAGUUGAUGUGUUGGUAAAUUACCGAUGGGCCAUUUCAUUCUUGGAUUUAGACCAGUUCAAACAAACACUCUUGCACACAUAGACACUCACAAACACAGAGAAUCUUACAAUUUUAUUAAACUGACAAGGUGAAGGCAACCCAAAAAGAGGAACCAUUGAAUGUACAUUUUGUUUAAACUUGACUGGUGGUUAUUUCAUAUUACUUUUGGCCAUUUCAUUGAAAAGAUAAGCAACCGGACACCUUAUAUUUUUGGCCACUUUUCUUAAGACUUUUUCCCCUUUCUUUUUACUUCUUUUCUUCUCUUCAAUUUUCCUUUUCCUUUUCACCUUCACCUUUUCUUUUUCUUCUCUUUUCUUCCAGUUCAACCAAAUUGUCUCGUUGAAAAUGUCAAAGGAGCAUCUUUAAUAUCAAACAAGCAUGUUUAUUUUCAUAUUUGUCAUUUUCAUCGAAACCCACUACUUGUAUGAUUUGAAUUCAGUUUGGUGAUAAUGAUUUUGAACACGCAAAAUUUGGUCUUUCCUUGGAUAUUUAUUUUUAUUGACAAUCAUCUUCACCAUCAUUCCUUCAUCUUCUCAAAAAUGACCCUCAAGAUUUAACUUUUAUCAACUCGAAAUUGAAGCAUUUUCCAAUUUCUAGUUCACAAAAGAAGCUGAUGAUGACCAAGGCAACCAUUUUCUCAUGAUUGAUUCAGGCUCUCCAUUUGCUAUUAAAAUGAUUUCAAGAAAUGAUUUGUGUUAAUGUUUAUGAUGAAAAAAAACCCAAAAUCUGGUCUCAAUUUUAUUUAUUUAUUUAUUUGUAUUUUUUAUUUUGGCCUCUUCUGGUCUUUACUUGAUUCGUUUAUCAUCAAGUAGGCUUAACAUUUACCCUGCAUAAUAUUAUUACAAUUGCAUCAAUAAUUUAUCUGAAUUUUAUUUACAUUAACUGUUAUUGUCAAUCAAUAUCAACCUUUAUUUACAAAUCUUCAACUUUGAAUAUUGUUACACAUCACAGUUUACUAUUGAUCCAAUUCAUUUUGGAAAUGUUUAAACAAAUAAACGUCUAUUGAUUUAAAAUUAAUGAUAUUUUUAGAUUUUUAUGUAAAUUUUUUGUCUCAUUAAAACACUUGAAAAUAAUCUAGCAAACAAAAUAGACUCGAAUCUAUUUUCACCGCAAUAAUUAAUUUACUUGCUCCAUCUAUCGUUUCAAUGUCAUUAACAUUGUGUAAACAAAGAGGUUAAUAGACCGACAUUUUAAGUACAUCAAGUAAUUGAUCUUUAUUUAAAAUUAACCUUUUAUUAGUUAGUCUAUCAUGACAUUGAUUUUUUUAUUGCUUCGAUUUGCUGUUAAUGGUAAAACUAGGUGACAAGUUGAUCCACAUCCAUGUAAUUUGAAAAGUCUUGGAACCGACAAAAGGUAACAAGACUACUAACGACUCAUGAGUAUUUAGAAGUAAAUUUGCGGUUAAACUUGGAUUCGAGUUGGUUUGGUAAAAGUGUUUCUCAAAGUGGGAUGAAAGUCACUGAAUAGCACUCGACACCAAAUUAGGAAUAGAUAGCUUCAAAAGUUGAUUGACGACUGGUUUAGGCUAAAUGUAUGGAACUACCUUUUUGAUUUGUCUAACCAACUCUCAGGUGAAUCUUGAAGUAAAUUAUCUUGUAAUUUACUAUCAUUUUCCAUUCUUUUUUAGGAUUUUUCAUUCUUCUAGAUUUUAAUCUCGUAGUUCGCUGAUUUCGUUGGCAUCUUUCUGCAACAUUUAAUGUUGAGAUAUAAUUAGCGUUGUCUCUUUUUGUUGGAAACUUUCUCAAGCCUAACCACCUCCUGUACAACCGUUGGUCAAUUGUAUUCACUAAAGAGGCUCUCUUCAACUAGACCUAAGAGAUUUUUGGAUUAUAAAUCAAAGGCUUGGAUCACCAGACAUCCUUUAAAGCAAAAAAUACCGUUCAAAGGCAGAAACAGAUUUAUCGAGUUCUUGUAACAACUUUAAUCUUCAAGCCCGACAUGACAGCUUAAUCUUAAUCUUUGAAUCAAUGGACACACAAUGGAUUGAUAGAGAUUAGAGAAAUCAAUAGACUUUUUGGUAAAGAAAUUCUCAGCUAAUUAUGGUUGAUAGUAUCACUUAAAGGAUCAAAUGGGAAAUGUAAUCCAUUAUUAUAAAAGAGUUGGAGGAGCAGAUUGAUUAUUACAAAACUUGAUGGUUGUCAACAGUAAAUAUACAGUCAUACCUGAAAGAUAAUGGCAUUAAAUAUCUGAAUACCUGGACAUUGAAAAGUUGACCAGUUCACAAGGAAAGGAGUGAGAAUAAAUAAAGCCAAUCAUCUUGAAGUUGUAUUUUAUUCAAAAGGGAACAAAUCACUUAUUUAUUGCCUGAUAUACCUUUUACUGAACAAUAAAAAGGUUCAAUCCAAGACCAGCUUCAAUUGGCAUUACAGUUUUACUUUCAAUUUAAUUGUAAAUGUCUUUACUUCUAAUUUAAUAUUAAUCUUGGUGAUUCAUGAUGAUGAUGCACAAGGAGAAGGAUAAAGGACAAAGAUUGGCGAAAGACGAGAAAAUGAUGAUGAUGAAGAAGAAGAAGAAGAAAAGUAAAAAUACAAACCAAUUGCUUUUUUCUGGCCAAUAAAAUGUCCAAAUAUCAAAAACUAAUCGAUUGUAAAGGAAAAAGGAAAAAGACUGAAGAAGAAGCCAAAAGAUGUAUUAUAUCUUGUCUGUUGUCCAAGUUUUUUUUAUGACCAUCAUAUCAUCUUUAUCCUUAGUCAUUCAAUUUCUCCUCCUACUGCUCAUCAACAUUAUCAUCUUGAUCAUCAUCAUCAUUAUUUCCCUGAAUUCCAACGGAAAUUUAAGCUUUUCCACAUUUUAUGCGUUUCCAGCCAAAAACAAAACCAAGCCAAAAGGAGAAAGAAGGAAACUCGAAAAGUAAAACAAAACCAAACCAUUUUUUUUACAACUUUGUUACCAUUUAACUAUUUUUAUUAUCAUCAUUAUCCAACUAAUUAUCUGAUUAGUUUUAUUUUUUUAUUCUCAUUUACCUUUUAGCUUUAAUUCAAUAUCCAAUUUAAAUGAAUAAUCUGUUGCCCAGCCAAUUCCACCAUCAAUCCAAUCAAUUUCACUUGAAGUAUAAAUGGAUUUCUCGUGUAUUUCCCUUGCAAACGAAUCUGCGGUCAAAUGAAUUUCAAAUUGCUGCCUUUUAUCUGACAAUUAAAUGUUUAUUGUUUCAAA